Non-coding RNA from Salmo salar (Atlantic salmon), 54 nucleotides. The record is from Rfam. Lineage: Eukaryota; Metazoa; Chordata; Actinopteri; Salmoniformes; Salmonidae.
UGCAUUCACUACUGUAAGUCGCUCUGGAUAAGAGCGUCUGCUAAAUGAAAAAAA